This 497-nucleotide ribosomal RNA is filed under the name uncultured bacterium. RNAcentral's name for it is "partial 16S ribosomal RNA". It matches the Rfam family "Bacterial small subunit ribosomal RNA", at positions 28 to 507 of the family's 1533-position model. The record is from RNAcentral.
GAUGAACGCUGGCGGCGUGCCUAAUACAUGCAAGUCGAGCGAACAGAGGAGGAGUUUGUUCCCUUGACGUUUUGCGCGGGCGUGUGUGUAACACGUGUAUCAUCUAUCUAUAAGACUGGUAUAACUUCGGGAAACUAGAUAUAACACCGGAUAAUAUAUUGAUCCACAUCGUUUGAUAGUGAAAUGCGGUUGCACUACUACCAGUUGAUGCUGCGGCGCCGCAUUUGCUAGUUGGUAAGGUAACGGCUUACCAAGGCGACGAUUAGCAGCCGACCUGGGAGGGUGUUCGGCAACACUGGAACUGAGACACGCUCCAGACUCCUACGGAAGGCAGCAGUAGGAAACCUUCCGAAAUGGGCGAAAGCCUGACGGAGAAACGCGGCGUGGGUGAUGAAGGUUUCCGGAUCUUAAACCUCUGUUAAUAGGGAAGAACAAAUGUGUAAGUAACUAUGCACGUCUUGACGGUACCUAAUCAGAAAGCCACGGCUAACUACGUG